Molecule: small nucleolar RNA, 101 nt
Organism: Suncus etruscus (white-toothed pygmy shrew)
Lineage: Eukaryota; Metazoa; Chordata; Mammalia; Eulipotyphla; Soricidae
Product: small nucleolar RNA U13
Exons: 1
Source: RefSeq, a predicted model, not a curated record
AUCCUUUUCCGGUUCAUAAGCAUGAUGAUGAGGUUUUCACACACCUGUGUGAUAUGUGCCUCCUUUUAACCUUGUAACGACGUGACAUGACACUUCUGACA